CCUACUACAGUUUUCUCCUCUUCCGUCAAGUGUAAUAGAGAAACUGGGAGAGCUGUGAUUACCUUCUGUGGUGCAAACUUUCUUCUUCCCAAAGGGUGAACUAGUGCACGUUGUUGCGGUUGGAACAAGAAAGUGUUGAGGAGUUAAGCAUUUGAGAUUGAGCGGCGAUGGACGUGGAUGAUGUUGAGCAGAGUUCAUGGAUUGUUUUGUCAUGAUUAAUAAUUGUUGGAUCUGUCGUGUCUUCAUACUCGGCAUUUUCCGUGUCUUGAACGCUUCCGCUAAGAGUCAUUUUCUUUAGAAUUGUUUAUUCGUGGAGAGUCUAACUCGUUUGAAAAUUGUUUACUGUCCACUCUUUAUUUACUUAGAGUUGGUAUUAUUGUUAGGAUAAUAUUAUGGCGUUUUCAAAGUUAAUUCAGUUAUUAAAAUUUUUAGUCAAA
Long non-coding RNA from Salvia splendens (bonfire salvia), 437 nucleotides. RefSeq lists it as uncharacterized. The transcript has 4 exons. NCBI's taxonomy places the organism in Eukaryota, Viridiplantae, Streptophyta, Magnoliopsida, Lamiales, Lamiaceae. The record is from RefSeq and is a predicted model, not a curated record.